Molecule: non-coding RNA, 784 nt
Filed under: Senometopia sp. 1 HNL-2023a
Lineage: Eukaryota; Metazoa; Arthropoda; Insecta; Diptera; Tachinidae
Source: RNAcentral
AUAAAGUUUUAUUUUAGCUUACAAAUUUGUUAUUAAUUUAAUUUAUAUGUAAAUUUUUGUGUGAAAAUAUGUUUAUUUUAAUAAUAAAUUUAAUAUUAUAAAUUCACAAUAGUUAAUAUUAUUAAUUAAAGAAAUUUAGAGAUAGUAAUAUUAAAGAGUAUUGACUUAAUUUGUGCCAGCAGUCGCGGUUAUACAUUUAAUACAAAUAAAUUUUAUUAGUUUAAGUUAAAUAAUUUUUAUAAAAAAAAAUAAAUAUAUUAGGUGAAAUUUUUAAAUUUAUAAUUUUGUUGUUAAAAAUAAUUAAUUCUUGAAAAUUUAAAUUAUAAACUAGGAUUAGAUACCCUAUUAUUAAAAAUGCAAUCUAAAAACUUAGGUAGUAGUAGUUAUGUUCUUGAAACUUAAAAAAUUUGGCGGUAUUUUAGUCUAUUCAGAGGAACCUGUUUUAUAAUCGAUAAUCCACGAUGGACCUUACUUUAAUUUGUUAACAGUUUAUAUACCGUUGUUAUUAGAAUAUUUUAUAAGAAUUGUUAAUUUUCAUAAUUUUUAAAGAUAAAAUAUAUCAGAUCAAGGUGUAGCUUAUAUUUAAGUAUAAAUGGGUUACAAUAAAAUUAUUUAAAUGAAUAUAAAUUUGAAAUAUUUAUUGAAGGUGGAUUUGAUAGUAAAAUUAUAAAGAUAAAUAAUUUGAUAUUAGCUCUAAAAUAUGUACAUAUCGCCCGUCACUCUUACUAUUAAGGUAAGAUAAGUCGUAACAUAGUAGAUGUACUGGAAAGUGUAUCUAGAAUGC